Molecule: ribosomal RNA, 267 nt
Filed under: Triticum aestivum (bread wheat)
Lineage: Eukaryota; Viridiplantae; Streptophyta; Magnoliopsida; Poales; Poaceae
Description: partial small subunit ribosomal RNA
Source: RNAcentral
AUGGACUUAAUACGAAGGAAUUUUCUUGCACCAGACGCGGACGCAAUUCCGAAUAUACCACUGAGAGUGCCUGGUGGUGAGGAUUAUCUCGCAUGGGACUUGGAAAGGUCCGGUGUCUAUUUUGUUAAAACGGCUUAUCGUGCUCUAGUGACUCGAAAAGAGCGCUUAGCUCUAGAGGAAGGAACAAUAGCGGAGUCUUCAAUAUCGGAUAGACCCAUGUGGACGGCCUUGUGGAAACUAAAGGUUAUUCCUAGAGUCCGUGUUUUC